Macadamia integrifolia is the source of this 1478-nucleotide long non-coding RNA. RefSeq lists it as uncharacterized. Lineage: Eukaryota; Viridiplantae; Streptophyta; Magnoliopsida; Proteales; Proteaceae. The transcript has 8 exons. The record is from RefSeq and is a predicted model, not a curated record.
UAUUAAAUUUAUCUUCCACUUGCAAUGUGGAGUAAAAUAAAGACCAAAGAGAAGUCCCAAACUAGUAAAAGAAAUUCAUUCUGAAACUGUGAAAGAAAAAGAAUGGCUUCAAAGUUUAUAAGGAUCCAAUUAUUCAAACAUCAAUAGGUAACAAGGUUAACUAAUCAUAUGGUGCUUCAGUAGUUAGUUGCAAUAGGAUAAGCCAUUAUUUCUUGAACACACAAAAAGGGAAGGGAAGAUUCAACUAAUUAAUGAACUUGGCAUUUUGAUUCUAGAACUCAAUUGGAACUAACUGUUUGGACCUUCAUUUGCAUGUGCUCCUGUUAGGGAGGUCCUUACGAUGAGUCUGGUAAACAAUUUACUGCUCAUGAUAUAGGACGUGGAGACAGGGCUUGUUCUUGGAUGUCACAGUGUUUCACGCUUGUAGAUACCAAUUCAGGAGCUGGAAAAGCCAUUUUGAGGUCACUAUAUCACCAGUAUGCGGAAUGGGGCAUGGAUUUUGUAAAGCAUGACUCCAUUUUUGGUGAUGACUUGGAUGUAGAUGAGAUAAGAACUGUGUCAGAGGAUAACUGCAGAUGAUUGGGAUAAGUGGGAAGAUGUAGCGGGACAUUUCAGUGUAUCAAGGUGAACUUUUGUAACAGGGACUUUGCUAAUGGUGGCAUGAUAGGAGCCAGUGGUUUGCAGGGGAAGUCAUGGCCUGACUUAGAUAUGCUACCACUGGGCCGGUUACUGAUCCAGGUGCCAAAGAAGGGCCACAUAGACCAUCCAAUCUCAAUUUAGAUGAGCAAAGAACUCAGAUGACUCUAUGGUCUAUGGCCAAAUCACCUCUCAAGUUUGGGGGUGAUGCAAGGGAAAUUGAUAUGAACACAUACAAUCUCAUCACAAAGCCUAUAUUAUUGGAAAUAAAUUCUUUUAGCACAAACAAUAUGGAGUUUCCUUACAUCUCCGGCUCAAAAGUUCAAAGUGGAAAAAGGUUCACGCCAAACAAUCUAAAAGCCUGAAGGAUGAGACCAUAUUGGAUCAGAAUUCAAGUGCCUUGAUAGUAGCAAAUUACUUCAAUUGGUCAUAGGUUUACGAUGAUGGUGUAGUGACAUUAAAUUAUUGACCCAACCAGCAAGAAACAGACAUCGAAGAUGAAGUCUCUGGAGACAUUUCUUCUAGACAGCUGUUGAUUCCGGAGUGAGGGAUCAUUGGGUCAGAUAAUGCAAUUGCUUUGUGGCCAUGAAAAAUUGUUUGAGGAUUGUUUCUGCUACUGUUUCAGCAUGGACAUUGUGUGAUGAGGCCUCGUUCUCUUCCACCUAGCUAGUCCUUCUCUUAUGUUGCCCGAGUUCAACUUUUUCACUCACAAUGGUUAUGGGGGUUUUAUUUUCUGGCGAUAUGUCCAUGCCAAGCACAAGCAGCUUAGUCAAUGAGUGGCAAAUGCUAUUUCGAUCAUGAAGACCACGCCAUCCAAUUAGGAGGAGGUUGCAGAAAGUGAG